GAUGAACGCCGGCGGUGUGCCUAAUACAUGCAAGUCGUACGCACUGGCCCAACUGAUUGAUGGUGCUUGCACCUGAUUGACGAUGGAUCACCAGUGAGUGGCGGACGGGUGAGUAACACGUAGGUAACCUGCCCCGGAGCGGGGGAUAACAUUUGGAAACAGAUGCUAAUACCGCAUAAGCGCACGGAUUCGCAUGAAUCUGUGUGAAAAACUCCGGUGGUAUGAGAUGGACCUGCGUCUGAUUAGCUGGUUGGCGGGGUAACGGCCCACCAAGGCGACGAUCAGUAGCCGACCUGAGGGGGUGACCGGCCACAUUGGGACUGAGACACGGCCCAA
RNAcentral lists this ribosomal RNA (336 nucleotides) under uncultured bacterium. Its description in RNAcentral is "bacterial SSU rRNA". It matches the Rfam family "Bacterial small subunit ribosomal RNA", at positions 28 to 334 of the family's 1533-position model. The record is from RNAcentral.